AUACCUUUCUUGGCCUUUUGUCUAAGAUCAAGUAGAAUAUAUGUAUCAGUUUAAUAUUUGAUACAUGGACCAUUGAUCCACAUGAUAAGUAACUCAUUUUUUGGAGGGGUAAGGUCCAUCAGGAUAUCUUGAUAUCUUGGCCUUCGUGCAUCGCGUAGGCUUUGCACUACUGCCCUGGCCUGGACACCCUAC
This is a non-coding RNA of Capsicum annuum, 192 nucleotides long. The record is from Rfam. Lineage: Eukaryota; Viridiplantae; Streptophyta; Magnoliopsida; Solanales; Solanaceae.